Molecule: ribosomal RNA, 253 nt
Filed under: uncultured bacterium
Lineage: Bacteria
Description: partial 16S ribosomal RNA
Rfam family: Bacterial small subunit ribosomal RNA
Source: RNAcentral
UACGGGGGGGGCAAGCGUUGUUCGGAAUUACUGGGCGUAAAGGGCGCGUAGGCGGCCUUAUAAGUCAUGUGUGAAAGCUCUGGGCUCAACCCAGGAAUUGCAUGUGAUACUGUAAGGCUUGAGUUCGGUAGAGGAGGGCGGAAUUCCAGGUGUAGCGGUGAAAUGCGUAGAUAUCUGGAGGAACACCCGUGGCGAAGGCGGCUCUCUGGUCCGAAACUGACGCUGAGGUGCGAAAGCUAGGGUAGCAAACAGG